This 20-nucleotide non-coding RNA is filed under the name Mus musculus (house mouse). RNAcentral also lists the same sequence under 1 other name. The record is from RNAcentral. Lineage: Eukaryota; Metazoa; Chordata; Mammalia; Rodentia; Muridae.
UUAAGGCACGCGGUGAAUGC